GCUUACGGCCACACCGCCUGGUUCACGCACGAUCUCGUUUGAUCUCGGAAGAUAAGCUAGGGUGGGCCUGGUUAGUACUUGGAUGGGAGACCGCCUGGGAAUACCAGGUGCUGUAAGCU
Molecule: ribosomal RNA, 119 nt
Filed under: Scophthalmus maximus (turbot)
Lineage: Eukaryota; Metazoa; Chordata; Actinopteri; Pleuronectiformes; Scophthalmidae
Source: RNAcentral